CGGAGGGCUAGCGUUGUUCGGAAUUACUGGGCGUAAAGCGCACGUAGGCGGCUUUGUAAGUUAGAGGUGAAAGCCCGGGGCUCAACUCCGGAAUUGCCUUUAAGACUGCAUCGCUUGAACACGGGAGAGGUGAGUGGAAUUCCGAGUGUAGAGGUGAAAUUCGUAGAUAUUCGGAAGAACACCAGUGGCGAAGGCGGCUCACUGGACCGUUGUUGACGCUGAGGUGCGAAAGCGUGGGGAGCAAACAGGAUU
RNAcentral lists this ribosomal RNA (252 nucleotides) under uncultured bacterium. RNAcentral's name for it is "partial 16S ribosomal RNA". It matches the Rfam family "Bacterial small subunit ribosomal RNA", at positions 528 to 779 of the family's 1533-position model. The record is from RNAcentral.